This 1474-nucleotide ribosomal RNA is filed under the name uncultured Bordetella sp. RNAcentral's name for it is "partial 16S-23S ribosomal RNA intergenic spacer". It matches the Rfam family "Bacterial small subunit ribosomal RNA". The record is from RNAcentral. Lineage: Bacteria; Pseudomonadati; Pseudomonadota; Betaproteobacteria; Burkholderiales; Alcaligenaceae.
GCCUGAUCCUGGCUCAGAUUGAACGCUGGCGGAUGUUUACACAUGCAAGUCGAACGGCAGCACGGACUGGUCUGGUGGCGAGUGGCGAAUUGGUGAGUAAUGUAUCGGAACGUGCUCAGUAGCGGGGAUAACUACGCGAAAGCGUAGCUAAUACGUCGCGUACGCCCUUCGGGGGAAAGCGGGGGACCUUCGGGCCUCGCACUAUUAGAGCGGCCGAUAUCGGAUUAGCUAGUUGCGGGUAACGGCUCACCAAGGCGACGAUCCGUAGCUGGUUUGAGAGGACGACCAGCCACACUGGGACUGAGACACGGCCCAGACUCCUACGGGAGGCAGCAGUGGGGAAUUUUGGACAAUGGGGAAACCCUGAUCCAGCCAUCCGCGUGUGCGAUGAAGGCCUUCGGGUUAAAGCACUUCUGGCAGGAAAGAAACGGCACGGGAUAAUACCCCGUGCAACUGACGGUACCUGCAGAAUAAGCACCGGCUAACUACGUGCCAGCAGCCGCGGUAAUACGUAGGGUGCAAGCGUUAAUCGGAAUUACUGGGCGUAAAGCGUGCGCAGGCGGUUCGGAAAGAAAGAUGUGAAAUCCCAGAGCUUAACUUUGGAACUGCAUUUUUAACUACCGAGUUAGAGUGUGUUCAGAGGGAGGUGGAAUUCCGCGUGUAGCAGUGAAAAUGCGUGAUAAGCAGAGGAACACCGAUGGCGAAGGCAGCCUCCUGGGAUAACAAUUUGACGCUCAUGCACGAAAGCGUGGGGAGCAAACAGAUACACCGGUAGUCCACGCCCUAAACGAUGUCAACUAGCUGUUGGGGCCUUCGGGCCUUGGUAGCGCAGCUAACGCGUGAAGUUGACCGCCUGGGAAAGUACGGUAACGCAAGAUUAAAACCCAAAGGAAUUGACGGGGACUCGCAAUAAGCGGUGGAUGAUGUGGAUUAAUUCGAUGCAACGCGAAAACCUUACCUACCCUUGACAUGUCUGGAAUCCCGAAGAGAUUUGGGAGUGCUCGCAAGAGAACCGGAACACAGGUGCUGCAUGGCUGUCGUCAGCUCGUCGUGAGAUGUUGGGUUAAGUCCCGCAACGAGCGCAACCCUUGUCAUUAGUUGCUACGAAAGGGCACUCUAUCGAGACUGCCGGUGACAAACUGGAGAAGGUGGGGAUGACGUCAAGUCCUCAAGUAUCUUUGCGUAGGCUUCAAGACGUCAUACAACAGCUGGGACAGAGGACGCCAACCCGCGAGGGGAGCCAAUCCCAGAAACCCGACUGGGACCGGAUCGCAGUCUGCAACUCGAUCAAGCGGAAGUCGGGAAUCGCUAGUAAUCGCGAUCGUGCAUGUCGCGUGAAUACGUUCCUGGCCCUGUACACACCGCCCGUCACACCAUGGGAGUGGGUUUUACCAGAAGUAGUUAGCCUAACCGUAAGGAGGGCGAUUACCACAGGUAGGAUUCAAGAGACUGGGGUGAAGUCGUAACAAGGUAG